UCCUCGUUUAAGCGAGGCAGUCUGUCCAGAGUGCUCUUUACUCUCGUAAAGGUGGCAACAGGACACAAGGGUUGCGCUCGUUGCGGGACUUAACCCAACAUCUCACGACACGAGCUGACGACAGCCAUGCAGCACCUGUGUAAGCUGGUAUUGCUACCUCGUUACUCUUUCAAGCUUCUACUACCUACAUGUCAAGGCCAGGUAAGGUUCUUCGCGUUGCAUCGAAUUAAGCCAUAUGCUCCACCGCUUGUGCGGCCCCCCGCCAAUUCCUUUGAGUUUUAAGCUUGCGCUCGUAGUUCCCAGGCGGAUCACUUAAUGCGUUAGCUUCGCUACCGAGCCGGUCGAUAGGCCCAACAGCUAGCAUUCAUCGUUUACAGCUAGGACUAC
RNAcentral lists this unclassified non-coding RNA (387 nucleotides) under uncultured Verrucomicrobiae bacterium. Its description in RNAcentral is "contains 16S-23S intergenic spacer region". Lineage: Bacteria; Pseudomonadati; Verrucomicrobiota; Verrucomicrobiia. The record is from RNAcentral.